RNAcentral lists this long non-coding RNA (547 nucleotides) under Malus domestica (apple). RNAcentral describes it as "long non-coding RNA (MDOM_LNC020008)". Lineage: Eukaryota; Viridiplantae; Streptophyta; Magnoliopsida; Rosales; Rosaceae. The record is from RNAcentral.
UAACAAAGGUAUGUUAACUUGAACUUUCCGAAAAGGUUUCAAGGAUAUCCUUUUCUGCCUCUUCUUUCUUCGUUUGCAUGAACCUACUAGGAAAAGGCACAAUUGAAGGAAAACAUUAGUAUGAACCGAAUUUGACACAUUCUUACCUUUGUGGGACAAAUUGGGCAGAUUUGGGACAUUAGGAGCUUGCGACAAAGGUGGAACCACCUUUGCCGUGGGCAACCUUGAUUCCUCCUCUUCCAAUUGCAAAAGUUCAUCCUCAUUAUGAGCCUGUUUUUGAAUGUAGGACCUGCCCCAACUUCCUUACCACUUCUUAGGUGAUUGCUUUGGCACUUUCGAACCCUCCCUUCGGAUUUGGAAUGGUGGAACUAGGGAGUUGUCCGGGAUCUCGAAACUUACCUACAAACUCGGCAAUCUGCCCAAUUUGUUUCUCAAGUUGAUCCACCCUCUUAUCUUGGUUUUGCAUAGCCUUUGCUUGAUCUUCCUGCCCAUUAGACAACUUAGUUAGUAUCUUAAGAAGUGCAUCAUUGUCAAGAGACGUACCUGA